CGACGUAAAGAACUUGCCUCAGAGAUAGGGACAACAUUUGGAAACGAAUGCUAAUACCUGAUAUUAUGAUUUUAGGGCAUCCUAGAAUUAUGAAAGCUAUAUGCGCUGUGAGAGAGCUUUGCGUCCCAUUAGCUAGUUGGAGAGGUAACAGCUCACCAAGGCGAUGAUGGGUAGCCGGCCUGAGAGGGUGAUCGGCCACAAGGGGACUGAGACACGGCCCUU
This 222-nucleotide ribosomal RNA is filed under the name uncultured Fusobacteriaceae bacterium. RNAcentral describes it as "partial 16S ribosomal RNA". It matches the Rfam family "Bacterial small subunit ribosomal RNA", at positions 113 to 334 of the family's 1533-position model. Lineage: Bacteria; Fusobacteriati; Fusobacteriota; Fusobacteriia; Fusobacteriales; Fusobacteriaceae. The record is from RNAcentral.